Galleria mellonella (greater wax moth) is the source of this 1159-nucleotide long non-coding RNA. RefSeq lists it as uncharacterized. Lineage: Eukaryota; Metazoa; Arthropoda; Insecta; Lepidoptera; Pyralidae. The transcript is spliced from 3 exons. The record is from RefSeq and is a predicted model, not a curated record.
ACUUAUUUGGGUGAUAUACAACUGUCUAACCCAUACUAAUAUCUCUACUCACCUAUACUUGACAUUUCUUUUAUUAUUCUUUAUCAAGUUACCAAAUCACUGCAAUAUGAAAUAUGGUGUAGUUCAUAUCUAUAGACUGCCAGUUUGUUUGUCAUUAUCGGUUGCAUAAAAAAUAUUUUUAUAAAUUAAUUUAAGAUUUUUUAAAAUUUAUUCAAGUCUUUGUCAUAAGUAUGUAAUUUAAAAUCACUCAUCAACAAAUAUGAUGUCUGUCCGGAAAGUUCGUAUAAAAGUGUUCUGGAAUGCGAGAAAGAGGAGUGGGGAGGCCAGGUAAGCGCAGGACCCCUUCCUUAUGUCCCUAACAAUGCUUCAGUUCUGGUCUGACCGCCGUGCGGUGCGAACUGGCUUGUCACGCCAUCUGUGAAGUUACCUCUUAACGAAACCCCGUCGGCAUGGAGCCCGCUUCCGUUGAAGAGCAGCGCGUCGUAAUCAAGUUUCUCUCGAAACUCGGCAAGAAUGGCCGUGAAAUUUUUGCCGAUCUCAGAACAGUUUAUGGGGAUGAUGCUGUGAAGGAACCAACCGUCCACAAGUGGCUAAAAAGAUUCAGAGAGGGCCGAGAAAGAGUUCGAUGUUCGGGGGAUUGUCCAUCAAGAAUUCGUCCCUCCAGGCCAGACAGUUGAUGGAAAAUUCUACGUCGAUGUGCUCAGACGCCUCAAAGCUCGUGUGGCACGAGUUCGUCCAGAAUUGGCGCGAGAGGGGCGUUGGAUUCUUCACCACGACAAUGCCCCUGCCCACACCUCUCUUGUUGUCCGUGAGUUUUUGAGUAAAAAUUCCAUUACGGUGACCGAACACCCCCCCCUAUUCGCCGGAUUUGGCCCCGUGUGACUUCUUCUUGUUCCCAAAAACCAAAUUGGUACUUCGGGGGCGGCAUUUGGGGGACAUAAAUGAGAUAAAAAAAGCUACGACGGGGCAGCUGAGAAACCUACAACCAGAGGACUUUCAAGGAGCCUUCUCACAGUGGAAACGGCGUUGGCACAAGUGCAUUAUGUCACAGGGGGAGUACUUUGAAGGGGAUAAAAUUGAUUUACCUGAAUAAUUGUAAAAUAAAAUUUUUAAAAAACUUUUAUACGUACUUUCCGGACAAACCUCGUACAUUUUAUUC